Tribolium madens (black flour beetle) is the source of this 1984-nucleotide RNA transcript. It is a transcript of the gene named TGF-beta-activated kinase 1 and MAP3K7-binding protein 2, with no coding region annotated. The transcript has 6 exons. Lineage: Eukaryota; Metazoa; Arthropoda; Insecta; Coleoptera; Tenebrionidae. The record is from RefSeq and is a predicted model, not a curated record.
CACUGUCGCACUUUCAUUUCACGUGACAGAACAGUUCUAUUUGUGUUUCACCAACUUCAGUCUGGCACAACAUACGAUCCGAAGGUUGCAUUGUAAAUUCGCAAGUUUUUCCUCAAACCCUCAAAAAUCACACAAUCCUCAAUCCCUCCGUCGAGUGUGCAGUGCUAGUGAGUGCUUGAACCAUGUUUCCCUCACCGGAUCUCCUCACACAGCAAGUUGUUAUGUGAUUUCGCUACAUCAUAAUGGGUGGCCAUGUUUGGCAGAAGGAGACGCAGGUCGUCCACCAUCCGUGUGAUGCAGCUAUUCCAUGAGCUAAAACAGCAAUUUCCCACCGUUCCCGACCACGUGGUAAACGCCUGUAUCGCCUCCUACGCCCAUUCAAACUCCCCCCACAAAGACACCACCAUCCGGGAGUUACUGGAAGCGGCAGCCCAAAACCAAGAGCCGAUGGGCCGUUCUCCUCCUCCUCCAUCUCAACCUUCACCGCCCCCAUCCCACCCUCCAGCAACCGCCGAACGAACAAGCGAAAUGAACGCGAGUGCGAGUGACAUAAAUCAGAAUGUUGUCAAAUACACUAAAAAGCACGAAUCGGUGAGUGUGUGCACGGAAUCAAAAAGUAAGUUUUUUGUCAAAAGACCGGACACUUUGGAACUUCAACCAUCAGAAAAAUGCAAAGACGUUCACAAACUCUUAAAUUCGGAUAAACCGCCACGGUCACCCAAACGGGGCACUCCUCGACUCAAAAGACUGCAAGAUGAAGGCAAGAAAGAGACAGCGUCGACUCCCACCCAAACCACUGACACUCUUCGUGGGGGCGCCAACAGUGUCAAUCUCUCCCUCAACAUCAACCUCCUCCCGAGCCCCACCACGCGGCGCAAAUCCGUCCUCCAGGUCACCCCCCAGCAGCCCUGGCUCCAGGAGCCCCUCAGUCCGAGGAGUUACACCAGUGUUAACCUCACUCUGCGUCCCCCUUCGUCCGAACCACAGCCCCCUAUUGACAUAACCUCCCAGAACUCGAGUCUGACUUACUCCACGAGCAGUUUUGAUUCGCAAAAGGGACUCCAGAGUCGGCUUCAGAUCACAGUUGGGCCCGGGGGUGGGAGUGUUUCGUCGACACGGGCGAGGCCCCGGAGUAGUUAUCACCCGGAGCAAGCCGUCGAGGAGGUGGUGCCGUACAGGGCCGGCUCCUUGACUAAUCUUGCGACGAGCAGCGAACCCCCCGUGAUACUGAAACAACAGGCCCGAAUCGACCGUUUGAAAAUCGAGCUAAGAUCGGAGAAAGCCAAACUGGAGGUGAUGCAAAAAGAGGUGACCGAUUUGGAAGACCGCAACCGCCCCCUUGCCAUCCAACCCACCGAUGCGGAAGUGGAAAAACAGCUGCGACGAGAAAUCAAGCAUUUGCAGUAUCAAUGCGAACAGCUAGCCCUCGAAGUGGACAAAAAUAGUGAUUUGCAGGAAGACUUCUAUCAUAACAUUUAUACGGGUCAGAGGGGCCCUUUGAAUCUAGACGGCCGUCGCUACACCCAGCCCACUGCGUUUCAAGACAACGAAGGUCCGAAAUGGAAUUGUCACUUGUGUACAUUCCUUAAUCAUCCAGACUUGGAUAAAUGUGAACAGUGCGAAAUGGCGAGGAUAUUACACGUUUCUGCAGCUCCAGGUGAUAAUAUUCACAUUCAUGUAACUCCAAGACUAUCUAGACGUAAGAUAUUGCGUGUUGUGUGAUUUUACUAGAGCUUUUAACCUGCAUGUGUAGUGUGUGCGAAAAACUAAACGCAAGGUGUCGUACACUCUUGGGUUUUAUAAUAGGAACAGGUAAUUAAGAGAAUGACGAACUGCUAUUUUUUUAUUUUCUUUACAAAUUUGUUAAACCAAACAAAUAAUUGCUCACUUAAGAUGUGUAAAUGAUUAGGCGACAUUUUGUUAAGUUUGUGAAUGUACAUAUUUUAUUGUAAAUUAAGACAAAAAAAUGCUUAUUUUGAUAAAA